RNAcentral lists this ribosomal RNA (424 nucleotides) under uncultured prokaryote. RNAcentral describes it as "bacterial SSU rRNA". It matches the Rfam family "Bacterial small subunit ribosomal RNA", at positions 355 to 776 of the family's 1533-position model. RNAcentral also lists the same sequence under 1 other name. The record is from RNAcentral.
UGAGGAAUAUUGGUCAAUGGGCGAAAGCCUGAACCAGCCAAGUCGCGUGAAGGACGACGGUCCUAUGGAUUGUAAACUUCUUUUGUCGGGGAGUAAAGGCAGUUACGUGUAACUGUUUGCAAGUACCCGAAGAAAAAGCAUCGGCUAACUCCGUGCCAGCAGCCGCGGUAAUACGGAGGAUGCGAGCGUUAUCCGGAUUUAUUGGGUUUAAAGGGUGCGUAGGCGGUUUGAUAAGUCAGUGGUGAAAUCACGAAGCUCAACUUCGUAACUGCCAUUGAAACUGUCGAACUUGAGUGCGGUAGAAGUGUGCGGAAUGCGUAGUGUAGCGGUGAAAUGCAUAGAUAUUACGCAGAACCCCGAUUGCGAAGGCAGCACACCGGGCCGUAACUGACGCUGAAGCACGAAAGCGUGGGUAUCGAACAGG